Molecule: ribosomal RNA, 403 nt
Filed under: uncultured fungus
Lineage: Eukaryota; Fungi
Description: eukaryotic LSU rRNA
Rfam family: 5.8S ribosomal RNA (bases 1-125)
Source: RNAcentral
GCAUCGAUGAAGAACGCGGCGAAAUGCGAUAAGUAAUGUGAAUCGCAGAAUUCAGUGAAUCAUCGAAUCUUUGAACGCACCUUGCGCUCCAUGGUAUUCCGUGGAGCAUGCCUGUUUGAGUGUCAUGAAUACUUCAACCCUCCUCUUUCUUAAUGAUUGAAGAGGUGUUUGGUUUCUGAGCGCUGCUGGCCUUUACGGUCUAGCUCGUUCGUAAUGCAUUAGCAUCCGCAAUCGAACUUCGGAUUGACUUGGCGUAAUAGACUAUUCGCUGAGGAAUUCUAGUCUUCGGAUUAGAGCCGGGUUGGGUUAAAGGAAGCUUCUAAUCAGAAUGUCUACAUUUUAAGAUUAGAUCUCAAAUCAGGUAGGACUACCCGCUGAACUUAAGCAUAUCAAUAAGCGGAGG